Molecule: long non-coding RNA, 2296 nt
Organism: Suricata suricatta (meerkat)
Lineage: Eukaryota; Metazoa; Chordata; Mammalia; Carnivora; Herpestidae
Exons: 3
Source: RefSeq, a predicted model, not a curated record
CUAAUGUUAAUCUGUCACUUGUGCAGUUGGAAUAUAUUUCGAUGUGACUGAAAGAAGAAUAUGUGAGUGGCAGCCAUUUUGAGCUCUUCCCAAUGUCUUUUUGUUACUCCCUCUCAAAAACUGAAACUUACCGGUGAGUAAAAUUCUUGAGUCUAAGUCUUUCUCAUGUCAAAACUAUAGACGUUGCUCUACCAUUGUAGACGAGGAGACCAAGGUCAGCAUGGUUUUUAUUCCUUUAUAAACAUUUACCUCCUUUUUAAACAAAUUUUUGGUUUGGAUAUAUAUGGAAAAACAUGUUUUUUAUUUGUUUAUAAUUUUAAAACUUGUCAGGAUGUUUCUGGAUUACUUUUACCUGGGUCCUGGUGAGCCCAUUUCAUCCCAACCAGCUUCCCCUCUUCCUAUCCCUUUUUGGAAAGUUUUCUUUAAUUGUAUCUUCAAUGAUUGCUUCUCUUUUGAUUGUUCUGGAUUUUUCUUCAGCAACAUAAUUCUUUGGCUGAAUCUCUAUUCCUACUCUUCCAUAGCUAGGAUUUUCUUUUUUAAAUUUCUGUAUGUUAUUGAAUCUAAGAUGGUAUUGGUUAUAAGAAGCACUAUUAUUUUAUGUACAAUUAGCGGAAGAAAAAAUGCUGCUAAUUAAGCCAUGACAUCAUGCUGUAAUUAUGAUCCUGUGAAAUCGGUAAGUUGAUCAUACCAGGCCCUUCCUUAUUUUCAAAUGUUCCAUCUUUUGGGGGAUUUGUUAGUUUCUCCUGCCUUCAGUCACAUUGUUUGGCAUGAGACAGGCAGUCCAUUUUGCAUGCAUCUCGGUGACAAAAUCUAGUUUGUACUUCAAGAGAACUUCUCUCUCUCUCCAGUCCCUAUAGAGUGCUUGGUCUUUCUUUAAAAACUAAAAAGCAAUUGCAGUCAUUGCUCCAAUAACUUACUUGCUUCAGUCAUAUCGGAUUACCCCCUGCUGGUCUAAUUCUAUGCUUUUCUGCAUACACAAUGACUUCUUGUUUCAAUGCCAAAUCAUAGUGUAAUCUUUUAAAAGACAUUUCAAAUGGUAAUUAAACUCACAUGUAAUCACAACAAUGUACAUAACUCAAUUCAAGUGUUUACAACAUAAACGGCUGAGACUAAAGUUUGCCCACGGCCGGGACUCAUGGUGGCCACUCCCUGGUCCAAAUGAUUGUAGGAUGCCACUGAUCGUUAAGACUUAGCCUGGUUUCCUAUUUGUUAACAUGUGGGGAGAAUGGAGGUCUUAGAAUCAGUGAAACAGGAUAGUUCAAUUCUGUGUUCCCUUCUCUGUAUUUUGAAAGCGUUUCUUGAGUUUGCCAUCCAUAAUAUUUAUUUGACUUUCCACCAUGUGAAUUCCACUGAUUCACUGCUUUAUAUAUGGCUUUUAAUGAUUAUUCAAUACUUUUAUUUUCUUGGAAAAAUCUUUUAAGUCAAAAGCAGCUUCCUUUCCAUCCGUUCUUGGCCUCUAUCAGUCAAAUUCUCCUUUAUAGGCAUAAGGUCCCGUGAUAUUUACCAGGCAUCUGGGUUCUAGUCACUAGAACGUGAACCCCAGUGAUGUGUGUGAUUUACAGGACUUUCCCAUAGAAUGUUGAGCGAGCUCUCCUCCAUGCUUUUCCCCUUCCAGAUAAGUGCCAGGAAAUGACGUGGACAACCUUGGAGGCCACAGGAUGAAGACAGCAGAACUUUCGUUAGCCUGGGUGCCCCGGGUGGAGAGCUGCUCUUAAAAACUGAGAACAUUUGCCUUGGGCUCUUUUGCCUGAUGAACUGAUGUGGGAUCUCCUCUUACUUCUGCCUGUGACACUGAGAACUGACAGAGUACACACACAUCUUACUCACCAGCGCAACUGCCUUCGUCCUGCCUGCAAAGACCGUCUGUGAGAUCAAUACCUUCCUCAACGUGACGUGCCGUUGCUGGUCCUCCUCUCCUUCCAGCUCCCCGCCUUCCCAGGACAUGUUCUACCCUCCUGGCGUAGCCUGCGGUUGAGUGCCCUGUUGUGACCGGAAGGGAGGGACUCCACGCUGGGAUUGAAGUAGCCCUCCCGACCCCAGCCCCCAGGACAAGCGCAUCCUGGACGAGGCUGACGGGUUUGUGAGACUGUACGGAGGUCAGACCUGGCUGCUCGUCGUCUCUUCCUUCGGAGUGCACCGGCUGCGGGGCGCCGUGGGGAGCUGGGGACCGCGGUGGGCAGGGCACCCAGGAAACACUCAGUGGGGCAAAUCCGGUGGGUGAUUUUCUCUUUCUGUGACUUCUAAGGACUUUGUGAGGAUGGGUUAGGAUUAAAUUAAAUGACAAAACCAAAAGAAA